GCUGUGGAGAAACCGGGGUCAGCACGAGGGAUAGAUAAGCCCCAGGCUGGGGGCGGGGCUAGGCUGGAGUGGGGCGGGGCCUAAAUAGCGAUGAGCUAGGGAAUUGGGCGGCGCUGGGCAGGCUUAGUUCUGUUCCUGACCGGGUCAAAAUGGACACGUGACAUUAGCCCCAGGACCUCGUCUGAAUGGGAGACUUGAAGCAUCCCACUGGGGCGUGGCCAGAACGGGGUACCCACAGUGCAUGGCUGAUUCAGAGAUGCCAAGAGGAGGGGCAGGGAAUGCUCACCUGGUGGGAGGCAAGCCCCAGGGCAGGGCUGGUGAGCUCCCCUCCAUCCUGAGAUUUCUCCCGGGCCAACCUUGCUGCUUCCUUCACUUCCUGGAACUUCUCAGCAAACUGGGGGGCAGAAAGCAGAGGUGAACAAACUCUCCAGCCCCUCUCCAGCCUCCCACCAGGUCACUCCCACCCACUGCCAGCAUUGUUACCUUGGGGGGACCUUAGGAACUGUGCAUACCCCCUUAUCUCACAAACCGAAAGGGGCAGGUUGGAAAACGAUGUCCCCUUGAGCAGAAUGGGUACCCUGGUGGGAGGGAUGUUCCCGGAGGUGGCAGUAAGUACACUGAGAGACAUUAAGAAAGGGAUUCCCUUUUCCUCUCUGUCAGGCUUAUUUCAACAAGGAGAGCCUCUGGCUGGUGCUGACUUUUCUUUAACACCUGUUAACAUUCCUUUAUAACAGAGAGAGGAGGUCUUGCACUUGGAGCCUCUGAGAGGGAGGCAUCGACAGUCAGAGAGUAAUUACCUGCUUCCAGUUUUCAUUAAGCCAAGCGUUUACAUUUACCACCUAGCUCUGGCAAUUAAACUUGUUCUCCAGUUAA
Ictidomys tridecemlineatus (thirteen-lined ground squirrel) is the source of this 873-nucleotide non-coding RNA. The record is from RefSeq and is a predicted model, not a curated record. Lineage: Eukaryota; Metazoa; Chordata; Mammalia; Rodentia; Sciuridae.